Long non-coding RNA from Ictalurus punctatus (channel catfish), 998 nucleotides. NCBI's taxonomy places the organism in Eukaryota, Metazoa, Chordata, Actinopteri, Siluriformes, Ictaluridae. The record is from Ensembl.
CAACCAUUUCCGUCAAACAAGAGUUUGCUACAAGCAAGAAUUCACAUUUUUGGUCCGACCAGGAAACAAUGGUAAUGUUAGGCAUUCUGAAAGAAAUGGAUAUUAUGAAGUGCCUUGAUGGCCGUAAGAACAGGAAUGGUGACAUAUUUAAAAGAGUCGCAGAAAGAAAGGGAGAGGAAGGUUACGUACGUUCGGCUGAACAAGUGCGCACCCGCUGGAAAAUCCUAAAAACUAGCUACUAUCGGGCGAAAAAACAAAACAACACCAGCGGUUCUAAUCCUUCAUCUUUCCCACAUUUUGAAAGUAUGCAUGACAUAGUCAUCGACCUUUGUCCAACAUUUCCGAGAAUGGAGUGGACAUUGGGUUUGACGGGGACGAGGAUGCAGCGGAACACUCGAAUUCAGUGGACGAGAGUGUCAUUGGGGAUGAAGUGAGUUCUCUAGCUCGCCAGGAGGAAAUGAACGAGGAUGCAGAUGAAGAUAAUGCAUCAUCAGCUGAUAUGUCUGGUACUCAAGAGGAAAGCUUUUCAGCCACAGCACCAGAUGUCGACCCACCCAGGACACAAGGUUACUUUCGAAGAAAGAAGAAAGCGAGAAGCACUGUGAUCUCUCAGCAUCAGCAGUUCAGGGUGUGUGCCUUUCCAAAUCAUGUCCAAUCAACUGAAUUUAUCACAAUUGGACUCCAAUCAAGUUGUAGAAACAUCUCAAGGAUGAUCAGUGGAAACAGGAUGCCCCCCAAGCUCAAUUUUGAGUGUCGUGGCAAAGGCUGUGAAUACUUAUGUACAUGUGAUUUUUUUUUUUUUUUUUAAAUAAAUUUGCAAAGGUUUCAAACAAACUUCUUUCAUGUUGUCAUUAUGGGGUAUUGUUUGUAGAAUUUUGAGGAAAAUAAUGAAUUAAUCCAUUCUGGAAUAAGGCUGUAACAUAACAAAAUGUGGGAAAAGUGAAGCUCUGUGAAUACUUUCCGGAUGCACUGUGUGUGUGUAUGUGUAUAUAUAUAUA